CCAGCUCUCUUUGCCUUUUGGCUUAGAUCAAGUGUAGUUACUGUUCUUCUUAGUUUAAUCUCUAGGACGUGCCCACGGGUACAUCUAGUGAUUAAACCAGUUUUUGGAAACGGGCUGGGGGCCGCUGAGCAUCGCUCAUGUCCCUGGCCACAGUGUCGCCCAUACUGCACUGUCGUGGGCUGACGCGAACAGAC
RNAcentral lists this small nuclear RNA (194 nucleotides) under Neofusicoccum parvum UCRNP2. RNAcentral describes it as "U2 spliceosomal RNA". It matches the Rfam family "U2 spliceosomal RNA". Rfam says of the family: U2 is a small nuclear RNA (snRNA) component of the spliceosome (involved in pre-mRNA splicing). The record is from Rfam by way of RNAcentral. Lineage: Eukaryota; Fungi; Ascomycota; Dothideomycetes; Botryosphaeriales; Botryosphaeriaceae.